This 1572-nucleotide ribosomal RNA is filed under the name Salmonella enterica subsp. enterica serovar Oranienburg. RNAcentral describes it as "partial 23S ribosomal RNA". It matches the Rfam family "Bacterial large subunit ribosomal RNA", at positions 189 to 1783 of the family's 2925-position model. Lineage: Bacteria; Pseudomonadati; Pseudomonadota; Gammaproteobacteria; Enterobacterales; Enterobacteriaceae. The record is from RNAcentral.
GGAACUGAAACAUCUAAGUACCCCGAGGAAAAGAAAUCAACCGAGAUUCCCCCAGUAGCGGCGAGCGAACGGGGAGGAGCCCAGAGCCUGAAUCAGCAUGUGUGUUAGUGGAAGCGUCUGGAAAGGCGCGCGAUACAGGGUGACAGCCCCGUACACAAAAGCGCAUGUGCUGUGAGCUCGAUGAGUAGGGCGGGACACGUGGUAUCCUGUCUGAAUAUGGGGGGACCAUCCUCCAAGGCUAAAUACUCCUGACUGACCGAUAGUGAACCAGUACCGUGAGGGAAAGGCGAAAAGAACCCCGGCGAGGGGAGUGAAAAAGAACCUGAAACCGUGUACGUACAAGCAGUGGGAGCACCCUUUGGGGUGUGACUGCGUACCUUUUGUAUAAUGGGUCAGCGACUUAUAUUCUGUAGCAAGGUUAACCGCAUAGGGGAGCCGGAGGGAAACCGAGUCUUAAUUGGGCGUUAAGUUGCAGGGUAUAGACCCGAAACCCGGUGAUCUAGCCAUGGGCAGGUUGAAGGUUGGGUAACACUAACUGGAGGACCGAACCGACUAAUGUUGAAAAAUUAGCGGAUGACCUGUGGCUGGGGGUGAAAGGCCAAUCAAACCGGGAGAUAGCUGGUUCUCCCCGAAAGCUAUUUAGGUAGCGCCUCGUGAAUUCAUCUCCGGGGGUAGAGCACUGUUUCGGCUAGGGGGCCAUCCCGGCUUACCAACCCGAUGCAAACUGCGAAUACCGGAGAAUGUUAUCACGGGAGACACACGGCGGGUGCUAACGUCCGUCGUGAAGAGGGAAACAACCCAGACCGCCAGCUAAGGUCCCAAAGUCAUGGUUAAGUGGGAAACGAUGUGGGAAGGCCCAGACAGCCAGGAUGUUGGCUUAGAAGCAGCCAUCAUUUAAAGAAAGCGUAAUAGCUCACUGGUCGAGUCGGCCUGCGCGGAAGAUGUAACGGGGCUAAACCAUGCACCGAAGCUGCGGCAGCGACACUCAGGUGUUGUUGGGUAGGGGAGCGUUCUGUAAGCCUGCGAAGGUGUGUCGUGAGGCAUGCUGGAGGUAUCAGAAGUGCGAAUGCUGACAUAAGUAACGAUAAAGCGGGUGAAAAGCCCGCUCGCCGGAAGACCAAGGGUUCCUGUCCAACGUUAAUCGGGGCAGGGUGAGUCGACCCCUAAGGCGAGGCCGAAAGGCGUAGUCGAUGGGAAACGGGUUAAUAUUCCCGUACUUGGUGUUACUGCGAAGGGGGGACGGAGAAGGCUAUGUUGGCCGGGCGACGGUUGUCCCGGUUUAAGCGUGUAGGUGUGUGUUCCAGGUAAAUCCGGUUCACUUUAACACUGAGGCGUGAUGACGAGGCACUACGGUGCUGAAGCAACAAAUGCCCUGCUUCCAGGAAAAGCCUCUAAGCAUCAGGUAACAUCAAAUCGUACCCCAAACCGACACAGGUGGUCAGGUAGAGAAUACCAAGGCGCUUGAGAGAACUCGGGUGAAGGAACUAGGCAAAAUGGUGCCGUAACUUCGGGAGAAGGCACGCUGACACGUAGGUGAAGUGAUUUACUCACGGAGCUGAAGUCAGUCGAAGA